Molecule: ribosomal RNA, 504 nt
Filed under: uncultured bacterium
Lineage: Bacteria
Description: partial 16S ribosomal RNA
Rfam family: Bacterial small subunit ribosomal RNA
Source: RNAcentral
AUUGAACGCUGGCGGCAUGCCUUACACAUGCAAGUCGAACGGCAGCAUGGAGAGCUUGCUCUCUGAUGGCGAGUGGCGAACGGGUGAGUAAUGCAUCGGAACGUACCGUGUAAUGGGGGAUAACGUAGCGAAAGUUACGCUAAUACCGCAUACGACCUGAGGGUGAAAGCAGGGGAUCGCAAGACCUUGCGUUAUACGAGCGGCCGAUGUCAGAUUAGCUAGUUGGGGAGGUAAAGGCUCACCAAGGCGACGAUCUGUAGCGGGUCUGGGAGGAUGCGCCGCCACACGGGGACGGAGACACGGCCCAGACUCCUACGGGAGGCAGCAGUGGGGAAUUUUGGACAAUGGGGGCAACCCUGAUCCAGCCAUGCCGCGUGAGUGAAGAAGGCCUUCGGGUUGUAAAGCUCUUUCGGCCGGGAAGAAAUCGCACAGGCUAAUACUCUGUGUGGAUGACGGUACCGGCAUAAGAAGCACCGGCUAACUACGUGCCAGCAGCCGCCGUAA